Molecule: non-coding RNA, 213 nt
Filed under: Neobacillus niacini
Lineage: Bacteria; Bacillati; Bacillota; Bacilli; Caryophanales; Bacillaceae
Description: Bacillus niacini partial 23S ribosomal RNA
Rfam family: Bacterial large subunit ribosomal RNA
Source: RNAcentral
UUUGGUACAGCUUGUACAGGAUAGGUAGGAGCCUGAGAAACCGGAGCGCCAGCUUCGGUGGAGGCGUCGGUGGGAUACUACCCUGGCUGUAUUGAAAUUCUAACCCACACCCCUCAUCGGGGUGGGAGACAGUGUCAGGUGGGCAGUUUGACUGGGGCGGUCGCCUCCUAAAGAGUAACGGAGGCGCCCAAAGGUUCCCUCAGAAUGGUUGGA